Molecule: ribosomal RNA, 301 nt
Filed under: uncultured bacterium
Lineage: Bacteria
Description: partial 16S ribosomal RNA
Rfam family: Bacterial small subunit ribosomal RNA
Source: RNAcentral
CAGUCGCCGCGGUAAUACGUAGGUGGCAAGCGUUAAUCGGAAUUACUGGGCGCAAAGCGUGCGCAGGCGGUUUGUUAAGACAGAUGUGAAAUCCCCGGGCUCAACCUGGGAACUGCAUUUGUGACUGGCAAGCUAGAGUGUGGCAGAGGGGGGUGGAAUUCCGCGUGUAGCAGUGAAAUGCGUAGAUAUGCGGAGGAACACCGAUGGCGAAGGCAGCCCCCUGGGCCAACACUGACGCUCAUGCACGAAAGCGUGGGGAGCAAACAGGAUUAGAUACCCGUGUAGUCCCUGUCUCUUAUAA